GAGCUUGCUCCCGGAUGUUAGCGGCGGACGGGUGAGUAACACGUGGGUAACCUGCCUGUAAGACUGGGAUAACUCCGGGAAACCGGAGCUAAUACCGGAUAGUUCCUUGAACCGCAUGGUUCAAGGAUGAAAGACGGUUUCGGCUGUCACUUACAGAUGGACCCGCGGCGCAUUAGCUAGUUGGUGGGGUAAUGGCUCACCAAGGCGACGAUGCGUACCCCACCUGAGAGGGUGAUCGGCCACACUGGGACUGAGACACGGCCCAGACUCCUACGGGAGGCAGCAGUAGGGAAUCUUCCGCAAUGGACGAAAGUCUGACGGAGCAACGCCGCGUGAGUGAUGAAGGUUUUCGGAUCGUAAAGCUCUGUUGUUAGGGAAAAACAAGUGCGAGAGUAACUGCUCGCACCUUGACGGUACCUAACCAGAAAGCCACGGCUAACUACGUGCCAGCAGCCGCGGUAAUACGUAGGUGGCAAGCGUUGUCCGGAAUUAUUGGGCGUAAAGGGCUCGCAGGCGGUUUCUUAAGUCUGAUGUGAAAGCCCCCGGCUCAACCGGGGAGGGUCAUUGGAAACUGGGAAACUUGAGUGCAGAAGAGGAGAGUGGAAUUCCACGUGUAGCGGUGAAAUGCGUAGAGAUGUGGAGGAACACCAGUGGCGAAGGCGACUCUCUGGUCUGUAACUGACGCUGAG
Molecule: ribosomal RNA, 689 nt
Filed under: Bacillus zhangzhouensis
Lineage: Bacteria; Bacillati; Bacillota; Bacilli; Caryophanales; Bacillaceae
Description: bacterial SSU rRNA
Rfam family: Bacterial small subunit ribosomal RNA
Source: RNAcentral